Molecule: ribosomal RNA, 482 nt
Filed under: uncultured bacterium
Lineage: Bacteria
Description: bacterial SSU rRNA
Rfam family: Bacterial small subunit ribosomal RNA
Source: RNAcentral
AUUGAACGCUGGCGGCAUGCCUUACACAUGCAAGUCGAACGGUAACGGGCCUUCGGGUGCCGACGAGUGGCGGACGGGUGAGUAAUGUAUCGGAACGUACCUUUCAGUGGGGGAUAACGUAGCGAAAGUUACGCUAAUACCGCAUAUUCUGUGAGCAGGAAAGCAGGGGAUCGCAAGACCUUGCGCUGAUUGAGCGGCCGAUAUCAGAUUAGCUAGUUGGUGAGGUAAAGGCUCACCAAGGCGACGAUCUGUAGCGGGUCUGAGAGGAUGAUCCGCCACACUGGAACUGAGACACGGUCCAGACUCCUACGGGAGGCAGCAGUGGGGAAUUUUGGACAAUGGGGGCAACCCUGAUCCAGCCAUGCCGCGUGAGUGAAGAAGGCCUUCGGGUUGUAAAGCUCUUUCGGCCGGGAAGAAAUCGUAUGGGUUAAUACCCUGUGCGGAUGACGGUACCGGCAUAAGAAGCACCGGCUAACUACGUG